Molecule: long non-coding RNA, 1408 nt
Organism: Oncorhynchus tshawytscha (Chinook salmon)
Lineage: Eukaryota; Metazoa; Chordata; Actinopteri; Salmoniformes; Salmonidae
Exons: 4
Source: RefSeq, a predicted model, not a curated record
ACUUCAGAGGAACUGUGCAGAGUGAUUUCCUGUUGUUUUGAUACCUCACUAGAAGACUAGAAUAACUAGCUGUUGCUACAGAACGAAAUGACCAAUUCACAGUUAGUCGGUCUUGUUCUCCACACACCAAGUUCACGUGUUUUCUAUAUGCACAAGAUAGUUUGACUAUAUAAGGCUUCUGAACUCCGUGUGUCAUCGAGCUCUCGGCCUUCCACCUCAGAGUGUAGGGCUGACCAGCUACAUUAUUGCAAUUCUUAUUAAAAAGGUUGAUUGUUUGAAGAAAAGUCUCUCCUGAUUGGUUAGAAUUUCCACCACAAUGUGCAGUAACAAUGUUAGACCAGACUCAUAAUACAGAAUGAAUGACUGACUGCCCAGUUCAACGUUAGUUCACCUUCUCACCUCAUACUGUAUUGGAGCAGCAGCAGCUGACUUGAUCGUUGAUGCUAAUCAGCAUAUUUGAAUCUGAGAGUAAAUAGAGCCGACUACACUCUAAAAAUGAAGGGUUCAACUGGAGUUGUUCUCAGAUCCCCUAAGAACCGUAGGGUUCUUGUCAAUGAAAAACAACCCCAAAAGGUUCUUCAAAUGACUUGUUAGAAGGUGGGAUCAUCGAGGAACCUCCGUUGUUGCUGGACUUCUUUCGGAAACUUCACAAUUACAACUGAAAACGCUGGUGGCAAGUUUGGAUGCAACAACAAUUAAAAAGGACAGAACAUGGACACAAUGCAAUUGGGAUCAAGAAGAUGUUCUCAGAAAUGAAUCAAGUCCAUGGAAUGGAUAUAGACAAAAAGAGAAUUCAAGGACUAGCAGAGGUAGAGAGGCGAGGCGGGGGUGAGGACAUCAUCCUGCUAUUUUGACAGUCCCUGAAGGACAAUACAGAAGAGAUUUCGCCGCUCUUCACUCCUUUACUGCACAUCGGCGGAAAUCCAUUUCACCAUGGGAGUGAAAUCCCGCUGACCUUUGAUGGGGAGAACAUCCACGCUCUUGAGGACGUCCUCAUGGGACUUGGGGCUCUGCUAGGGCUGUAUAAUUUAUUUUCCCUUCAAUUUCCCCAAAAUGUCAGAAAAACACUUGUGUUGUUUUAAGUUACUGUGUUCUGGGGAUAAGAGAAGUUGGGGUGAAGUUACCAGGGCCGGUCAUAAUGAUGGCAAACUUCCUAACAUAACUAAGUGGAUAGGAUAUACACACUAAAGCUGAAAAAUCUGUAUUUAGCAUCAAAUCUACAAUAUUGUUAGUUUACCUAUGAAUCAUUUUGAAUGUAUGUUUUUAUUGGACAUCAUUUUUUUAUUUGUUGUAAAUGUCAUGAAAAGCACUAUACAAAGUAAAUGUAGUAUUUAUUAUGGUCUGACAUGUCUGCAGAAAUGUUGCAAUUUUGUAAUGUGUUUUGUAAAUAUUAAUUCACAUUUGUGGU